GAUGAACGCUGGCGGCGUGCCUAAUACAUGCAAGUCGAGCGAACGGAUGAGAAGCUUGCUUCUCUGAUGUUAGCGGCGGACGGGUGAGUAACACGUGGAUAACCUACCUAUAAGACUGGGAUAACUUCGGGAAACCGGAGCUAAUACCGGAUAAUAUUUUGAACCGCAUGGUUCAAAAGUGAAAGACGGUCUUGCUGUCACUUAUAGAUGGAUCCGCGCUGCAUUAGCUAGUUGGUAAGGUAACGGCUUACCAAGGCAACGAUGCAUAGCCGACCUGAGAGGGUGAUCGGCCACACUGGAACUGAGACACGGUCCAGACUCCUACGGGAGGCAGCAGUAGGGAAUCUUCCGCAAUGGGCGAAAGCCUGACGGAGCAACGCCGCGUGAGUGAUAAAGGUCUUCGGAUCGUAAAACUCUGUUAUUAGGGAAGAACAUAUGUGUAAGUAACUGUGCACAUCUUGACGGUACCUAAUCAGAAAGCCACGGCUAACUACGU
This 496-nucleotide ribosomal RNA is filed under the name uncultured bacterium. Its description in RNAcentral is "partial 16S ribosomal RNA". It matches the Rfam family "Bacterial small subunit ribosomal RNA", at positions 28 to 506 of the family's 1533-position model. The record is from RNAcentral.